GAAUGCUGACAUAAGUAACGAUAAAGCGGGUGAAAAGCCCGCUCGCCGGAAGACCAAGGGUUCCUGUCCAACGUUAAUCGGGGCAGGGUGAGUCGACCCCUAAGGCGAGGCCGAAAGGCGUAGUCGAUGGGAAACGGGUUAAUAUUCCCGUACUUGGUGUUACUGCGAAGGGGGGACGGAGAAGGCUAUGUUGGCCGGGCGACGGUUGUCCCGGUUUAAGCGUGUAGGUGUGUGUUCCAGGUAAAUCCGGUUCACUUUAACACUGAGGCGUGACGACGAGGCACUACGGUGCUGAAGCAACAAAUGCCCUGCUUCCAGGAAAAGCCUCUAAGCAUCAGGUAACAUCAAAUCGUACCCCAAACCGACACAGGUGGUCAGGUAGAGAAUACCAAGGCGCUUGAGAGAACUCGGGUGAAGGAACUAGGCAAAAUGGUGCCGUAACUUCGGGAGAAGGCACGCUGACACGUAGGUGAAGUGAUUUACUCAUGGAGCUGAAGUCAGUCGAAGAUACCAGCUGGCUGCAACUGUUUAUUAAAAACACAGCACUGUGCAAACACGAAAGUGGACGUAUACGGUGUGACGCCUGCCCGGUGCCGGAAGGUUAAUUGAUGGGGUCAGCGCAAGCGAAGCUCCUGAUCGAAGCCCCGGUAAACGGCGGCCGUAACUAUAACGGUCCUAAGGUAGCGAAAUUCCUUGUCGGGUAAGUUCCGACCUGCACGAAUGGCGUAAUGAUGGCCAGGCUGUCUCCACCCGAGACUCAGUGAAAUUGAACUCGCUGUGAAGAUGCAGUGUACCCGCGGCAAGACGGAAAGACCCCGUGAACCUUUACUAUAGCUUGACACUGAACAUUGAGCCUUGAUGUGUAGGAUAGGUGGGAGGCUUUGAAGUGUGGACGCCAGUCUGCAUGGAGCCGACCUUGAAAUACCACCCUUUAAUGUUUGAUGUUCUAACGUGGACCCGUUACCCGGGUUGCGGACAGUGUCUGGUGGGUAGUUUGACUGGGGCGGUCUCCUCCUAAAGAGUAACGGAGGAGCACGAAGGUUGGCUAAUCCUGGUCGGACAUCAGGAGGUUAGUGCAAUGGCAUAAGCCAGCUUGACUGCGAGCGUGACGGCGCGAGCAGGUGCGAAAGCAGGUCAUAGUGAUCCGGUGGUUCUGAAUGGAAGGGCCAUCGCUCAACGGAUAAAAGGUACUCCGGGGAUAACAGGCUGAUACCGCCCAAGAGUUCAUAUCGACGGCGGUGUUUGGCACCUCGAUGUCGGCUCAUCACAUCCUGGGGCUGAAGUAGGUCCCAAGGGUAUGGCUGUUCGCCAUUUAAAGUGGUACGCGAGCUGGGUUUAGAACGUCGUGAGACAGUUCGGUCCCUAUCUGCCGUGGGCGCUGGAGAACUGAGGGGGGCUGCUCCUAGUACGAGAGGACCGGAGUGGACGCAUCACUGGUGUUCGGGUUGUCAUGCCAAUGGCACUGCCCGGUAGCUAAAUGCGGAAGAGAUAAGUGCUGAAAGCAUCUAAGCACGAAACUUGCCCCGAGAUGAGUUCUCCCUGAG
RNAcentral lists this ribosomal RNA (1544 nucleotides) under Salmonella enterica subsp. enterica serovar Enteritidis. RNAcentral's name for it is "partial 23S ribosomal RNA". It matches the Rfam family "Bacterial large subunit ribosomal RNA", at positions 1292 to 2819 of the family's 2925-position model. The record is from RNAcentral. Lineage: Bacteria; Pseudomonadati; Pseudomonadota; Gammaproteobacteria; Enterobacterales; Enterobacteriaceae.